Molecule: non-coding RNA, 148 nt
Filed under: Homo sapiens (human)
Lineage: Eukaryota; Metazoa; Chordata; Mammalia; Primates; Hominidae
Source: Rfam by way of RNAcentral
GCUGGGUGUGGUGGCGUGCGCCUGUAAUCCCAGCUACUCAGGAAGCUGAGGCAGGAGAAUCGCUUGAACCCGGGAGGUGGAGGUUGCAGUGAGCCGAGAUUGCGCCACUGCGCUUCAGCCUGGGCGACAGAGCGAGACUCUGUCUCCA